Molecule: long non-coding RNA, 246 nt
Organism: Rosa rugosa (rugosa rose)
Lineage: Eukaryota; Viridiplantae; Streptophyta; Magnoliopsida; Rosales; Rosaceae
Exons: 3
Source: RefSeq, a predicted model, not a curated record
UGGACCAAACUUAUCGCUUGCUGCAUAUACAAGUUGGUAAAAUGGUUCACAAAAACUCUGCUGUUUACAUGAUUCCGUUCAUCCUAUUGCUGUUGCUCGCAUCCAAUACACUAGUAGUGUGUUCUGAUUUUUCCCCAGCAACAAAAAUCAAAGAAAACAGUAGGUUUCAUUGGGGCAUAAGGAAAAUCGGCGUACGAAAGCCUCCUACACCGGGAGGUCCUCAAGUAAGAAAUUCAUAUCUUCACC